CCUACGGGGCGCACCAGUGGGGAAUAUUGCACAAUGGGCGCAAGCCUGAUGCAGCCAUGCCGUGUGUGUGAAGAAGGCCUUCGGGUUGUAAAGCACUUUCAGCGAGGAGGAGGGUGGUGAGCUUAAUACGCUCAUCAAUUGACGUUACUCGCAGAAGAAGCACCGGCUAACUCCGUGCCAGCAGCCGCGGUAAUACGGAGGGUGCAAGCGUUAAUCGGAAUUACUGGGCGUAAAGCGCACGCAGGCGGUUUGUUAAGUCAGAUGUGAAAUCCCCGGGCUCAACCUGGGAACUGCAUUUGAAACUGGCAAGCUAGAGUCUCGUAGAGGGGGGUAGAAUUCCAGGUGUAGCGGUGAAAUGCGUAGAGAUCUGGAGGAAUACCGGUGGCGAAGGCGGCCCCCUGGACGGAGACUGACGCUCAGGUGCGAAAGCGUGGGGAGCAAACAGGAUUAGAUACCCCCGUAGUC
Molecule: ribosomal RNA, 465 nt
Filed under: uncultured bacterium
Lineage: Bacteria
Description: bacterial SSU rRNA
Rfam family: Bacterial small subunit ribosomal RNA
Source: RNAcentral